This 520-nucleotide ribosomal RNA is filed under the name uncultured bacterium. Its description in RNAcentral is "bacterial SSU rRNA". It matches the Rfam family "Bacterial small subunit ribosomal RNA", at positions 9 to 518 of the family's 1533-position model. The record is from RNAcentral.
GAGUUUGAUUCUGGCUCAGAACGAACGCUGGCGGCGCGCUUAAGCAUGCAAGUCGAACGGCAAGAGGUAGCAAUACCUCCUAGAGUGGCGGACUGGUGAGUAACACGUGGGUGACAUACCCUUCAGAUGGGGAUAGCUAUUAGAAAUAGUAGAUAAUACCGAAUACGAGCACAGGGGUUAGAGAUCUGUGAGGAAAGGAGCUAAGGCUCCGCUGAAGGAAUGGCCUGCGGCCCAUUAGCUAGUUGGUGAGGUAAGAGCCCACCAAGGCGAUGAUGGGUAUCCGGCCUUAGAGGGUGAACGGACACAUUGGGACUGAGAUACGGCCCAGACUCCUACGGGAGGCAGCAGCUAAGAAUAUUCCGCAAUGGACGAAAGUCUGACGGAGCGACGCCGCCGUGGAUGAAGAAGGCCGGAAGGUUGUAAAAUCCUUUUGAAACUGAAGAAUAAGCGUUGUAGGGAAUGACAGCGUGGUGACAGUAGGUUUUGAAUAAGCAACGGCUAAUUACGUGCCAGCCGCCGC